This 274-nucleotide ribosomal RNA is filed under the name uncultured Lachnospiraceae bacterium. RNAcentral describes it as "partial 16S ribosomal RNA". It matches the Rfam family "Bacterial small subunit ribosomal RNA", at positions 69 to 339 of the family's 1533-position model. Lineage: Bacteria; Bacillati; Bacillota; Clostridia; Lachnospirales; Lachnospiraceae. The record is from RNAcentral.
UGCCGGAGUGCUUGCACUUUGGCAGACUGAGUGGCGGACGGGUGAGUAACGCGUGGGUAACCUGCCUUAUACAGGGGGAUAACAGUUGGAAACGACUGCUAAUACCGCAUAAGCGCACGGUAUCGCAUGAUACAGUGUGAAAAACUCCGGUGGUAUAAGAUGGACCCGCGUCUGAUUAGCUUGUUGGUGAGGUAACGGCCCACCAAGGCGACGAUCAGUAGCCGGCCUGAGAGGGUGAACGGCCACAUUGGGACUGAGACACGGCCCAAACUCC